GACAGAGGUGGCUAGCGUUAUUCGGUGUCACUGGGCUUAAAGGGUGUGUAGGCGGCAAAGUAAGUGUCUUGUGAAAUCCCCCGGCUUAACCGAGGAAAUGCUUGACAUACUGCUUUGCUUGAGGCAGGUAGGGGUGCAUGGAACUCUUGGUGGAGCGGUGGAAUGCGUAGAUAUCAAGAGGAACGCCAGUGGUGAAGACGGUGCACUGGACCUGUCCUGACGCUGAGACACGAAAGCGUGGGGAU
Molecule: ribosomal RNA, 245 nt
Filed under: uncultured bacterium
Lineage: Bacteria
Description: partial 16S ribosomal RNA
Rfam family: Bacterial small subunit ribosomal RNA
Source: RNAcentral